This 454-nucleotide ribosomal RNA is filed under the name uncultured bacterium. RNAcentral's name for it is "partial 16S ribosomal RNA". It matches the Rfam family "Bacterial small subunit ribosomal RNA", at positions 28 to 507 of the family's 1533-position model. The record is from RNAcentral.
GAUGAACGCUGACAGAAUGCUUAACACAUGCAAGUCAACUUGAACUUCGGUUUGGGUGGCGGACGGGUGAUUAACGCGUAAAGAACUUGCCUCACAGCUAGGGACAACAUUUGGAAACGAAUGCUAAUACCUGAUAUUAUGAUUAUAUGGCAUCGUAUAAUUAUGAAAGCUAUAUGCGCUGUGAGAGAGCUUUGCGUCCCAUUAGCUAGUUGGGGAGGUAACAGCUCACCAAGGCGAUGAUGGGUAGCCGGCCUGAGAGGGUGAUCGGCCACAAGGGGACUGAGACACGGCCCUUACUCCUACGGGAGGCAGCAGUGGGGAAUAUUGGACAAUGGACCGCGAGUCUGAUCCAGCAAUUCUGUGUGCACGAUGAAGUUUUUCGGAAUGUAAAGUGCUUUCAGUUGGGAAGAAAAAAAUGACGGUACCAACAGAAGAAGUGACGGCUAAAUACGUG